Molecule: long non-coding RNA, 522 nt
Filed under: Gallus gallus (chicken)
Lineage: Eukaryota; Metazoa; Chordata; Aves; Galliformes; Phasianidae
Description: lncRNA (ENSGALG00010019995.1)
Source: RNAcentral
UCACUCCUCUUGGAGCCCUUCUGUGAGCCCAGGACACGGGUGUGAAGAUUUCCCACAAGGAGCAUUUCUGAGACCAUCUAUAGCAGUGAUUGAGGGGUCUAGAGGAAUAAAAGAGCCCUGCAAGUAUAAGAUGAAUUAUAAGAUACUCAAACCCACUUUCAUGAAAGAGUGAUUGGUGUGCACUGGCUUUACACAAAAGGGAGAAAAAUAAGAGAGAGAAGGACCGAAGGCUCUCUUGUGCUUUUUUCUUCAGCAGCUUCAAAGCUGUUCCUGGUGAGUGAUUUACUGAGUUGGCAACACUUGAAAUGUCCCAGCAGAGAAGCAAGGACUUGUUGAGUUGCAGAAAGCAGAACCAUUGUUUAAAGUAUAUAACGGGAAAUCUUUGGUGAGGUGAGGUGUGGAGUCCUCAUAGAGCCUCCUGAUGGGCAUGAGAAGGAGAGACCUUGUAUGGUGUGCAAAGGGAAAGAUUAUUUCCUGUCCAUAGUCAUGGAGAGAAGAUAAAGAACAGCUUAUCUGUUUGAG